UUUCUUGGGCCACUCCCUCGGCAUAUGGAGGUUUUCAGGCUAGGGGUCGAAUCGGAGCUGUAGCUGCCGGCCUACACCACAGCCACAGCAACUCAGGGAUCCGAGCCGCGUCUGCAACCUACACCACAGCUCACAGCAAUGCUGGAUCCCCAAUCCACUGAGCAAGGCCAGGGAUCGAACCCGCAACCUCAUGGUUCCUAGUUGGAUUCGUUGACCACUGAGCCAUGACGGGAACUCCAUGGGUUGAGUUUCUUAAGGCAGGAGCACACAAAGUUCAAGACAGGAGAAAGGAGUUUCAGGUAUUUGUAAAAUGAUGGAUCAAGGAGUCUAGGCUGGCUUGGAGUUGGUGGUAGGGAAAGCAAAAGAUAGGAGCUAAUGAAUUCAGUUUCUAGAAAGAUUCCUGACCUGAAGGUCUGCACCAAGUCAAAAGCAAUUACUAAGCAAAGGACUGGUUAGGUCACUGGUUUGUGUGUAUUUCUUUUUUUUCCGGCUGCCCCUGGAAGUUCCCAGUCAAGGGGUCCAAUCAGAGCUGCACCUGCCAGCCUACACCACAGCUAUGGCAGUGCCUGAUCGGAGCCACAUCCGUGACCCACACUACAGCUUGUGGCAACACUGGACCCUUAAACCACUGAGUGAGGCCAGGGAUUGAACCUGCAUCCCCACCAACACUAUACUGGGUUCUUAACCCAUUGAGCCCCAGUGGGAACUCCUGUAUGUAUUUAAGCAAGGUACGACAACAGGUUUGGGUGGGAGGAGCUGAGAAGAAAAGGUCAAAGGGAAAGGAAUAGGAACUAAGGUGUGGGAUGGGUCCAGAAUUAACACAGCAGGCCUUUUAUCUUUUAUAAAGUCUGCUUACAAGUUAGACCUGGGCUGGCAGCUAGAAACUUGGAUUUGAGGGUUUCCAUCAUUCCCAGAACUGAUAAAAAUCAUUCACUGUGCCGAAACUGUUUGUACAAUCAAUGCGGUUUACUUGUACUAAUUUACUUCUGGGAGUUUGGGAUUUUGGUAUGUGCCAAGCAGAAGGCGCCUACAUAAUCAGCCCCUGAUCCAAACGCUGGGCCUAGAGUCUCUGAUGAGCUUCCCUGGUAGACAACAUUCCACACAUGUUGGAACAACUCGUCCAGGGAAAUGAAGUGCCUCCUUUGUGACUCCACUUUGGAAAUUCUGAGCCUGGUUUACUCCAGACUUUGCCUAUGUGUCUUUUCCUUUGCCGAUUUUGCUUUGCAUCUUUUCGCCGGAAGAAAUCAUAGCCAUGAGUAUGGUUAUCUUGGGGACUUCCAGCACAGAUGAGUAAAUCACACAAACGCUGAAAUGAUUUAGGAUAAAGUGUAGAGGAAGAGGAAGGUGGGUAUAAUUGAAGAGGAUGGGUAGUAAUCAAGCCCUUAGGUAAUCAUAACCAAGAGUGAGGGGAUCACAUAAACCUCAACAGAGUGAGUAGGGAUUUUAACAGGAGCGGAGGGAGCAAGGACAAGCAGCGCACAACAAGCCCAUAUCCUGAACCUAGGUUUGCAGGGCAAGGAAUACUCCAGUGCUGCUACUGGGAAGGGUGGUAGGUGGAGCAGUGUCCUUAGCGGACAAAGGUUAGUUCCACAGAGGAGGAUCAACUCUCCAUCUGCUCUAAUGCAUACACCAUUUACAGCACCUCAGGACUUUUCUGGUAUUUAUUUAGCCUUUUUAGGGCUGCCACUUGCAGCAUAUGGGAAGUUCCCAGGCUAGGGGUAAAACUGGAGCUAUAGCUGCCAGAUACUACAGCCACAGCAAUGAGGGAUCCAAGUUGCGUCUGUGACCUACACCAUAGCUCACGGCAAUGCUAGAUCCUUAACCUACUGAGCAAGGCCAGGGAUCGAACCCUCAUCCUCAUGGAUACAAGGGUUAACCACUGACCCACAAUAGGAAAUCCUGGUACUUUAUUCUUGGUAACAAGUUACUUGCAGUAGCACACUGGUGUGGAGUGACACCAGAGCUAGUCACUGUUAUCUUUCACAAUACUCAAAGUCCGUAAGAGGUAAAAGUCAAUGCUCCUCUCACCCACUCUGACUUCUCCUGUGGAGGAAAAAAGUGUCAGCAUUAUUUUAACAGCCACAAGCUAGAAAUGACCCAAAUGUAGCAUUAGCAGUAGAAUGGAUAAAUUGUGGUCUAUUAACACAAUGGAAUAUCAUACUCCAACAAAAAUGAACAAACCACUGCCAAAUGCAAUAUGGAUGAAAUCUCUCAAACACCAUGUUGAGCAAAGAAGCUAAGCACAAAAGAGUAUAUGCGGCAUAAUUCCAUUUAUAUAAAGACUGAAAACAGGAGUUCUCCUAGUGGUGCAGCAGGUUAAGGAUCUGGCGUUGUCACCGCAGUGCACUGGAUCAUUGCUGUGGCCCAGGUUCAAUCUCUGGCCCAAGAACUUUCUUUUUUUUUUUUUUUUUUUGUCUUUUUGUCUUUUGUUGUUGUUGUUGUUGCUAUUUCUUGGGCCGCUCCCGCGGCAUAUGGAGGUUCCCAGGCUAGGGGUUGAAUCGGAGCUGGAGCCCCCCGCCUACGCCAGAGCCACAGCAACGCAGGAUCCGAGCCGCAUCUGCAACCUACACCACAGCUCACGGAAACGCCGGAUUCUUAACCCACUGAGCAAGGGCAGGGACCGAACCCGCAACCUCAUGGUUCCUAGUCAGAUUCGUUAACCACUGCGCCACGACGGGAACUCCUGACUGGGAUUUUUGAAAACUCCCUGGUUGAUUCUCCUGGAAGCCAGGAUGGAGGAAGCUUUGAGACAAAGUCCUCUCUAGCAUUUUCCACUGCGCCACGACGGGAACUCCUUUUUUUUUUUUUUUUUUUUUUUGUCUUUUUGUCUUUUGUUGUUGUUGUUGUUGCUAACCAAGAACUUUCGAAUUCCAUGAACACAGCCAAAAGGGGGUGAGGGGCUGGGGGGACGGGAACAAAAACAAGCAAAAGCAAUCUAUGUUGUUAGAAGUCAGGAUUGUGGUUAACUUUGAGGGGGUAGGGGCCGCUGGAAGGAAUUUUAGGUGGCUUUUGGGUACUGUUUACAUGGGAAGUUAUGGUAUAUAUGCUCUUCUGUGUUCU
Molecule: long non-coding RNA, 3060 nt
Filed under: Sus scrofa (pig)
Lineage: Eukaryota; Metazoa; Chordata; Mammalia; Artiodactyla; Suidae
Description: lncRNA (ENSSSCG00035079423.1)
Source: RNAcentral